Molecule: ribosomal RNA, 305 nt
Filed under: uncultured bacterium
Lineage: Bacteria
Description: bacterial SSU rRNA
Rfam family: Bacterial small subunit ribosomal RNA
Source: RNAcentral
GGCCCUACGGGAGGCAGCAGUGGGGGAUAUUGCACAAUGGGGGAAACCCUGAUGCAGCGACGCCGCGUGUGGGAAGACGGUCCUCUGGAUUGUAAACCACUGUCCCCAGGGACGAAGAUGACGGUACCUGGGGAGGAAGCUCCGGCUAACUACGUGCCAGCAGCCGCGGUAAUACGUAGGGGGCAAGCGUUAUCCGGAUUUACUGGGUGUACAGGGGGCGUAGACGGUGCGUCAAGUCUGAAGUGAAAGCCCGGGGCUUAACCCCGGGACUGCUUUGGAAACUGGCGCGCUAGAGUGCUGGAGAG